RNAcentral lists this small RNA (541 nucleotides) under Fusarium acuminatum. RNAcentral's name for it is "eukaryotic LSU rRNA". The stretch from base 169 to 322 matches the Rfam family "5.8S ribosomal RNA". The record is from RNAcentral. Lineage: Eukaryota; Fungi; Ascomycota; Sordariomycetes; Hypocreales; Nectriaceae.
GUGCGGAGGGAUCAUUACCGAGUUUACAACUCCCAAACCCCUGUGAACAUACCUUAAUGUUGCCUCGGCGGAUCAGCCCGCGCCCCGUAAAACGGGACGGCCCGCCAGAGGACCCAAACUCUAAUGUUUCUUAUUCUAACUUCUGAGUAAAACAAACAAAUAAAUCAAAACUUUCAACAACGGAUCUCUUGGUUCUGGCAUCGAUGAAGAACGCAGCAAAAUGCGAUAAGUAAUGUGAAUUGCAGAAUUCAGUGAAUCAUCGAAUCUUUGAACGCACAUUGCGCCCGCUGGUAUUCCGGCGGGCAUGCCUGUUCGAGCGUCAUUUCAACCCUCAAGCGCCCGGGUUUGGUGUUGGGGAUCGGCUCUGCCCUUCUGGGCGGUGCCGCCCCCGAAAUACAUUGGCGCUCUCGCUGCAGCCUCCAUUGCGUAGUAGCUAACACCUCGCAACUGGAACGCGGCGCGGCCAUGCCGUAAAACCCCAACUUCUGAAUGUUGACCUCGGAUCAGGUAGGAAUACCCGCUGAACUUAAGCAUAUCAUUA